RNAcentral lists this non-coding RNA (28 nucleotides) under Rattus norvegicus (Norway rat). Lineage: Eukaryota; Metazoa; Chordata; Mammalia; Rodentia; Muridae. The record is from RNAcentral.
UGGUUUAUACUGGCUGUGUGGGCCUUGC